This 60-nucleotide non-coding RNA is filed under the name unclassified sequences. The record is from Rfam.
UCACCGGCAUCUGUGUUAAAGUUUGACAGAGUAAACCCGGCACCGGACAAGACGAAGAGG